UCCCGGGCCUCAGCCCCUCUGCUGCAGACCCUCGGGAUCGUCGCUGGAAAGAUUCUGGAGCUCGGCCGAGAGGGAUGUGUGAGUGGAGACCAGUGAAGUAACAGUUUUUGUGUUACGAUGAUUUCUGUUUUCCUCUGCUGCCCUGUAAUGGCAGGAACUCGGAUAGUCUGGUCUUCAGACCAGGAGGUCUCCCAGGAGAGAAUGGAGAGCCAGCAUGCUGUGUGUCACGGUCCCUGGAUGAACGUUUGUGGAACUGGAUUGAAUUAAACAAGACGUGCAAAGCAAGUGGUUCACGAGGUAGUGUGGGGAUGUAGGGCUGGGGACUGACCCGGGAAGCAGGACACGGCCCAAGCCCUGCCUCGGCCUCACCUCUAACUGGCUGAUGACCUUGGAUGAUUCCCUUCCCAUCCUGGGCCUCUGUUUUCUCAUCUGUAAAAUGGGCAGAUUGGCAAUGUGGCCACCAGGUCUGUA
This 471-nucleotide long non-coding RNA is filed under the name Pongo abelii (Sumatran orangutan). Its description in RNAcentral is "lincRNA". The record is from RNAcentral. Lineage: Eukaryota; Metazoa; Chordata; Mammalia; Primates; Hominidae.